UCGUGGGGUGACCUGUCUGCCUGAUCGCGAUAACGAACGAGACCUUAUCCUGCUAAAUAGCCCGUAUUGCUUUGGCAGUACGCUGGCUUCUUAGAGGGACUAUCGGCGUAAGCCGAUGGAAGUUUGAGGCAAUAACA
This 137-nucleotide ribosomal RNA is filed under the name uncultured eukaryote. RNAcentral's name for it is "partial 18S ribosomal RNA". It matches the Rfam family "Eukaryotic small subunit ribosomal RNA", at positions 1299 to 1458 of the family's 1831-position model. The record is from RNAcentral.